AGUGGACGCUGGCGGCAGGCCUAACACAUGCAAGUCGAGCGGCAGCGCGGGGGCAACCCUGGCCGCGAGCGGCGGACGGGUGAGGAAUUCGUCGGAAUCUGCCUUUUCGUGGGGGAUAACGUAGGGAAACGUACGCUAAUACCGCAUACGUCAUAAGGGAGAAAGUGGGGGACCGCAAGUCCUCACGCAGUUAGAUGAGCCGACGACGGAUUAGCUAGUUGGUGGGGUAAAGGCUUACCAAGGCGACGAUCGGGAGCUGGCCUGAGAGGAUGAUCAGCCACACUGGAACUGAGACACGGUCCAGACUCCUACGGGAGGCAGCAGUAGGGAAUCUUCCGCAAUGGGCGAAAGCCUGACGGAGCAACGCCGCGUGAGUGAUGAAGGUCUUCGGAUCGUAAAACUCUGUUAUUAGGGAAGAACAAAAGUGAAAGUAAAUAUGCACGUCUUGACGGUACCUAAUCAGAAAGCCACGGCUAACUACGUG
This 484-nucleotide ribosomal RNA is filed under the name uncultured bacterium. RNAcentral's name for it is "partial 16S ribosomal RNA". It matches the Rfam family "Bacterial small subunit ribosomal RNA", at positions 29 to 507 of the family's 1533-position model. The record is from RNAcentral.